AUGAAUUACGGAAAUGCAGCGAAUCUUGUACACGGUUGAAGCUUUGACGUCACUAUUCUCGUAACUGUAAUUUAUUUACCAGUGGUAUCGAUGUAAGCUACUUCACAUGUCAGAACACACCACAUAGCUACCAAAUGCGUAUUCAUUUUCCAUUUUUACAUGAAUGUAUGUAUGUAGGGGGGAAAAUAGAACCUUUAAUGGACUGAAAGGAGGUUGGCUGAACAAACAAACAAAAAAAUACGGGCAUGAAUUAAUCAAAUAUAAUCGACUGCAGAGAAAUGAACUGCGGUUCUGUAGCGCUGUUUAUGAUCUGCGUGGUGUCAUUUCUGCGGAGGGAAGCUUAAGCCCUUCGACUAAGCUUUGCAGGAAAAUGCUGAAAAAAUGGAAAGUCGGCUACGGACACCAGAGGGACCCCAGGUGGCCUUCGCACUUAUUAACCAGAGAUCCACGCGCGCGUGGCACAGCCUGCGGGGGGACUUGUGAGCGUUGGGCCCCCUGCAGGAGCCGCGGGGUGCGAGCGUAGCCGCGCGAUACACCCGCCGCUGCCGCCACUGAACCCGCCCGGGCGUCCCCCUUCCUUCCACGGGCGAACGGGGAAGCGUUACAUCAGCCGUGGCCCCCGGCGACGGUGCCAACUGGAGUUGGGGUGAGGCAUUGUGGCGAGGGUGAAAGGAAGGAAGGAGGAUUCGGGGGGAGCCGGGGGGAGCCGCGGGUAGCCGGGGGGGGGGGGGAAUAACAGCGGGAUACACAGCAGCGCUCCCUGGGUCCCGGAGGAAUCGUGGCACCGCCGGCAGCCAUCUUUGGGGUUAUGUCACGGCCGGCUCUUCUCCCCCCCCGGCAGAACCAGGUGGGACGGGGACACUUGAACCCGGGUCGUCGUCACGGUUACAGUGUAACUAAAGCUACCAGAGGCCCCCGGGACCGAAAGGUUUGACCUUGGAGUGUCGCUCGCCCUGUCCAGCCUGUAGGACCUCUGUAGCGCACCCCCCCUCCCCCCCUCCAACCCCCGAAAGAAAAGCACGAAUAAAUAACAAAUCCCCUGGACCCCCCCUCCAAAAACCAGAGUUUAUCAGUGUCUCACAUUGUAAAAAAAUAGAUGCCCUUCCCAGGCAGGGAGGAGCAAAAUAUGUAACUUUGGCUGCUAUGAUGGCUUAGAACAAGAAAUAUUUUGUGGAGAGUUAGCCAUUGUCGACACUCAGAGGUAACUAAAUUUUUUACAUCUUUCCAUGCCCUCCCCCCCCCCCCCCGUGGCUCAGACGGGAAGUGACGGAGGCUCUGGGGGUGAAGUGGUGAGAGAGGUGGCAAGAGGGGUGCAGAAAGAGACAAAACAAGCUCUCCCCGGCAACGUCCAGGGAAAAGCUUCUGUCCUUGGCAACGUCCAGGAUGUGGCUGCCAGUUCUGUCUAUGUGAUUAUUUUCACCAGAAGAAUGUUGGGGUAGAUUUUGGACUGCUGCAGAGCCAGUUUGAAUGCUUGUCUGACCCAACUGAAGCCCACUCUCCCUCCCUCUCUCCCCCCUUCAACUGGAGAGAGGCUCAGCAAACAAACUGAACCCAGUGUAACUCUGUGUUUAAUCACAUGCUAGCUUAGCGGCUAAAUUAGCCUCACUGUGCUAGGUUGGAAUGUUUUUGCUUUAUUCUGUGCAAAUUUGUGAAUCUAAAAAUUAAAAUUUCUCCUUUAAAUAAAUAAA
Molecule: long non-coding RNA, 1688 nt
Organism: Anguilla rostrata (American eel)
Lineage: Eukaryota; Metazoa; Chordata; Actinopteri; Anguilliformes; Anguillidae
Exons: 2
Source: RefSeq, a predicted model, not a curated record